This 466-nucleotide ribosomal RNA is filed under the name uncultured bacterium. RNAcentral's name for it is "partial 16S ribosomal RNA". It matches the Rfam family "Bacterial small subunit ribosomal RNA", at positions 28 to 507 of the family's 1533-position model. The record is from RNAcentral.
GACGAACGCUGGCGGCGUGCUUAACACAUGCAAGUCGAACGGAAAGGCCCUGCUUUUGUGGGGUGCUCGAGUGGCGAACGGGUGAGUAACACGUGAGUAACCUGCCCUUGACUUUGGGAUAACUUCAGGAAACUGGGGCUAAUACCGGAUAGGAGCUCCUGCUGCAUGGUGGGGGUUGGAAAGUUUCGGCGGUUGGGGAUGGACUCGCGGCUUAUCAGCUUGUUGGUGGGGUAGUGGCUUACCAAGGCUUUGACGGGUAGCCGGCCUGAGGGUGACCGGCCACAUUGGGACUGAGAUACGGCCCAGACUCCUACGGGAGGCAGCAGUGGGGAAUAUUGCACAAUGGGCGGAAGCCGGAUGCAGCAACGCCGCGUGCGGGAUGACGGCCUUCGGGUUGUAAACCGCUUUCGCCUGUGACGAAGCGUGAGUGACGGUAAUGGGUAAAGAAGCACCGGCUAACUACGUG